AGAAGGCGCUUCUGAAAGGCUUUCACCCUCAGCCUCUGCUCUUCCCUCCGGUCGGCCCCAAGUAGGGGGACUGAGGCACAGAACUGUUCUCUAGCUCUGGCUGCAAGGCGACACUGUUCCUGUGUCCUCCGAGGCCACCGCCCCUCCCUGCCGCCAGUGUCAUCUGACAAGGAGCUGUCUGGGGGAAACAUCAAGACAGGAAGUUUGCAUUUGGGUGGUGGACCAUGGGAAGGCAGAGGUAGGUGAUCCUGUUUCCCCGGGGUCAUUCUAGGACCCUCCAGGACAAGCCCAGUCCCUGUGAGCCUCUGAGUGGUUGGGGAAUGAGUAGGUCUGUGGUUUGGAGUGGGGUUGACAAUCUUCUGGUGCCUCAGUUUCCCUACCAGGCUGCUUUACGUUUAUCUUAGGAUCAUCACGGCUAUAGGAGAGCCUGGCCACAGGGCUCCAGGGUGAAACACUGCCUGGGAGGGCGGCCGUGGUGGCUGGGCCUGCUGAAGGCGGCCUGGCCGUUACUCACCAGGCCUGAUGGGCUUUUAUGCUCCCAGUGGUGACAUUUUUGCUGCGAUUGCUAAAAGAAAGUAGCCUGCCUCCCUGGUCAUUUUUUACCUUUUCCUCAUAAAUGAAAAGGCAGGACAUGUGCCAGGAGGACUGCAGCUGGGACAUCACUUCCACCGGGCCCCAGAGCUCCGGGUAGAUGAGAGAUGGGGUCUGGGGUGCUUCCAACCCGCCUCCACCCUCUCGUGUAUACUCUUGUCCUGUCCCAAGCCCAGUGCCAGCCCCUUCCUGCCAAGGUCCUCUCCAUCUGGCUUCCUUCACUACCGCCUUCCUUCCCUCUCCCUGUGAGGUCCCCUCCCCAAUUCCCGGGCCUCUCCCCAUUUUGCAGAUGAACAGACAGAGACCCAGGCAGAUGGAGGAGCCACCUCACUCCUCUUUCUGAGCGGCAUGGCUCCAGGACCUGGCUCCUAACAGGGACACCCCAGUUUCCUAGUGUGCCCUCACCCCGGCCAGACCAAAGCCCGACUCUGGACCAGUGGCACUGGGACCCGAUUAGGAAGGCAGAAUCAGGGUUCAUGCAGGUGGAAUCUGACUGGACACUUUAUCGACACCCCAGAGUGCAGAUUGCUGACAGCCACAAAGCUGUGUGCCGUGAGACAAGGGUCUGGUCCCCUGCCCAGGGAUGGUGGACCUCUGGUGAAGACGGAAGCGGGCAGAACCGGGGGCCUUGCAGCUGUCCCCUGCGUUUCCCACCCUUUAACCCUGGCGCCCUGUGGCCAAGCUCACCUGUAUCCAUGAUAAUCCUAAGAUGAACGUACAGCAGCUUGGCAGGGAAACUGAGGCACCGGAAGAUUCUCAACCCCACUCCUAUACCUUCCCCUUGGAAGCCACCUACUACAUCGCAGAAAGCCCAAGGCCCUGAGGGGGCCGCAUGCACAGGGCCGAGCCAGCUGCAGGGUGACCCAUGCUGCAGGUGGCUGUACCCCCUCCAGGGAGGCCCCCAAUGUCCUGUGGAAUCGAAAGGAGCCCCAUGCCUGGGUCCUGUCCAGAUCUGCAGAUUCAUGAGCCAAAGAGAGAACUGUUCAUUUUACGGUCCCAAGGACUGGGCAGGGCUUGUCACGAAGCAGCAGCUGAUCCCUGAGACACGUGCUGGCCACUGCCUGUGAGCGGAUCUCCGUGCUCCAUCUGGUAAACAGAACCUCGCUCCCAGCACCACUGCCUCCACCUCUUCCUGCUCUGCCUUGCUGCCUGUCCCGCUGAACCAACCCUCAGACCGAACCUGCCAACCUGCUGCCUAUUCACUCAGUGUGGGGGCCGGACUCCCUCCUGUGGCCCAGAAAGCCCCUGAACGGGCUGCUCACCUCCCUGCCCUUCCCCCUCCCCCGGCGCCCGCCCUGCCCUUCCUGUAAGCGGUGGCCGCCCCAAGUCCACCUCUCCCCAGGGCUUUUGCACUUGCUGCUAACAGCACAGAGCCCGCAGACACCUCCCGCUGCACCGGGCCUGCUCCACCCUCCCUGUGCUCCGUGAAGCAGUGUUUCCAGCCCUCCCAUCCUUCUCCGGCUGCGUUUUCUCUGUGGCUCCCAGCAUUGCUGUCAUUCCAUGCUUGACCCUAACCAGAGCCCGGAAGUGACACCUCUGUCACUCUACCACGCCAGAAGGCUUCUCAGCUCUGCCUGCUUCAGCGCAGGCCCAGAAUGCUCUGGAGGCCCAAAAGGUGGUGUGGCCACCGGGCUGAGGUCUUCUGCGCCCUGGAGGUAAGGUCUGCCCCAGUCUCCAAAAAUAGCGGGAGCAGGCUCUGCCCUGCCUCUGCCUGUGCGAGGACAGGGCGGGGGCAGGGCAGACUCAGAGCCCAGCCGGGAAGGCAGAGGCAGGGGUGUGUGGCGAGUGGUUUGGCCUUGGCGCAUGCGUACAAAAAUACUGCUGAGUUUGGAAGAAUCUGGCACAUGGUUACCCCAAGGGAAAACGCUGCCGAUUAAACCUGCUGUGCUCUGGGCUGCCAGGCAGGCCGCACACAGGACUGGGGAGCAGACACAGGCGUCCAUGCUGUGCUGUGGCUUACACCUUCCCGGCCGAGGAAAUGCAAGGUUUUCUUCGGAUCCAGAGGCCUUGGGCCCCUGCUCUUGGCAGGGCAGGGUGACAGUAGAUGGUGAUGGUGACAGUGUCACAGAGGUAAGCAGGAGGGUAUCCUGUGACAGACACAGAAAGCAAUCUGUGCCCAGGGAGCCUGCUGAGUAACAAAGCCACCAGCCCACCCACUGUUGUCAGCUCGGAGUGAGACAGGUGACCUGGGUCCCGCUGUCUGACUCAUGGUGCAUCAACAGGUGGGGCCUGUCCAGACCCCGACCUGGUGACUCAGUUCCCUGGGCUCGGAGUCCGUCCCAGGUCCAGGUGGAGGGUGGGGGGGGGCUCAUGCCCUGAUUUUCUGGGGAGCAAGAGGAAAGACCCCAAACCUGGAGUUGCAGAGAUCCGUCCAAAAUGAGGUGGUAUGGGCAGAUGGGUGAGGAGCGGGGCCCAGGAAUACCCAAGAGAGGCAGGUUCAACCAUGCUAGGAGGGCCUUGGGGGAGACCUGCUUUGGAAGGCACUGGGGAGACCACAGUGGACCCCAAAUUCCCUCCUCAGGAUGCAGAUCGUUCUCCAGCUGUGGGGACACUGCAGCUGACAGCUAGCUCCAAUCCGAACCCCUCCUCCCUGUAGAUGGUCUUGGCUGAAAUCACCUCCUCUUUCAAGGUCUCCCGUUGUCUUGGUCUGGAGUUGGGGCCUGAAGAGAUGUGCUCUGUUCCCAGCUCCUUGCCCUCUCUCUGGCUUUUUCCAGUUCUCUCCACUUCCUGGCUGCCAUGAGGUAAACGGCUUUCCUAGGUAUUUGACGUAGUGAUAAAAUCUAACACACCUGCUCUCUGGAGCAGCUGGCAUCCAUGACCAGUAGAUGCAUGAGGGUAGAGGAUGGUCCCCUGUCCCCAGGUAGGACAGCCUGUAGGGGCCAUCUCUGGGCACAGUCUCCCCACCCUUGGGUGGCCACAGGGCUGUGGCUGCUUUCCUGCUCAGCUUCUCCCUCUGCCCCACGUUCCUCCUUCACCCACAGGGGCUGUGCCCAGGAGUUUUCCCCAGAAGCCCUGCACACCGAUCUCCAGCUCAGGGUCCACUUUGCAGGAACCUGCCUUGCCCUGGAGGCCAACUACAAAACAAGGGAGCAAGUGGCUGCUGGGAUACCAGUAGAGUCCUGCUCCACCCCCUGGAGAGUCCUCCCCCUCCUGUGGGUACCCUGGACUCAAGGGGCUCGCCUAGGAGUAUCCUCUGGCAGCUGGACUGUGCCAAGGGCAGGGGCACAGGUGCAGCACAGGCAGGGGCUCAGGAACUUUCAACAGAUGACUCAGCCACCAGAGGCCAGCACACCCUAACCCCUGACCCCUAACCCCUGCCCACAUGCAGAUUCCAGCCUAUUUGAGCACCAUGUAAAGCACAGGCCCCGUGUGCCUGUGUAGCCUGUGUAUGAUUGUGUGGACACAAAUGCAUGUGCCCACGUACACGUUUGUGCGUGGAAGGAGGAGACAGCUCCUGCUUCUCAUCCCAGCGCUUAGGCCUGGGAUUCUGGGGAUGCAUGGAUUAGUUCGUGCUUGCAGGUGUGAGUGUGUAUGUACAGGGCUGUAGCACAUUUAGAAGUGUGCCCGUAUGUGUCCACUCGCCGAGGAUGCCCAGGCUCUGCAGCACGACUCCCCUAAGCUGUCUGGAGGUGCCCCCUUCUGCUCAGCCUCCUCAGGAAGCCCUUCCAGGGGAAGCUGAUGCCAGCUCCCUGCCACCCUUCUUGUUCUUGCCAAAACAUGGAAUUAAUUUCUUUUGCUGUCCAAAUCAGAACUCAUAGGCCUGGUUACUACAGUUUCCGGUGCCUUCACAUGGCAUCCCCUCAUCGCCUGGGGAGGUCCCCAAGCACAGAAGCCGCCUCUUCCGUCAGCCCAGGAUCUCCCUGAAGAUGGAGGUGGAGCCUCUAAUUUUCUUGCCCAUACAUGCAGAUGAGGAGAGCGGAGAGCCAAGGACACGCUCCCAGCUCAGGCUCAGACCCUUUCCAGGGGCUGGGUGUCCAGGGCCUCGGGUUCUGAGCUUGUUUUUGAGAGGGGCUUGGAGAAACUGGUGCUGUCUGUGGCCCCGGGGCUCCUCUGUAACGUGAGGGGCCACAGAAGGCCCUGGGGCUCCCGCCUGCCCUGCCCUGUGCUCAGCUCCGCUCCCUAGGUCCCCUGUACCCACUCCCUGGUUCCCUGUGACUAUGGCCCACCUGCCCAUCCCCAUUUCAAGCUGGCCGCUGACCUGGCCACGUGGCAGGAAUGAGGAGGUCAGCAGGCCGCCUGUCCUGGGUUAUUACAUUGAAUAAGCCGACAAAAGCCAUCAGAAGAUACAUCGUUUAAUAGGAGAUUAAAAACCAACAAGAGCGGCCAGGGUUUUGACCUGGACUCCUGCGUUUUUAAUUUAAUUUCUUUUGCAGCUCAGAUCAGAACAUUGUAAAACGACAAAAGUAGCUGUGUUUGCUCAAGGGUUUUAGCACUAAUUGAUUUGGCUGGAGUUGUCCCUUAAGCCGCCUCUUCUCAGCCUUCUGAGCCUGUGUGGGAAGAGGAGGAGGUGGAGUGGGGAGCUGCCAGCCCCUCCCACAGGUCAGCAGGCCCCCUGCCCCUGCCCCUGCCCCUGCUCCUGCUGUGAGCUGGCGCACACCUGUGAUCCCAGCAUGCUGGGAGGCCCACGUGAGCCACUGAGUGCCUUAAUGAGGCCCCAUUCCAACAUAAAAGAUACACAAGGGCAAGGGUUGCAGACCAGUGUGGAGGCUGUGGAAGCAACUCUCCUUUAACCCCCCAAAGUAGGAUUAGGUACAAAAUAAAAGAAGGUAGGAGCUAGAAUGUGGGGGGCGACCCUCCUGGCCGGGCAGGUUUCUGGCCAGGCCACGCCUCCACAGCGCCUGGUCUUUGCAGCCCUGCAGGUCAGAGCUGCAGAGCCUUGGGCCGAGUGGGAGGCCUGCUUGCCACGACCCCUCCCUAGGCCCCGGUGGCUCUGGGGUCCUCGUGCCUACACGGGGACAAGUAGGACAGAGCGGCUCUCCUCGAGCUUCGGUUGGAAAUCCCAGGUGCCUCGUGGACUUUUUGUUGCUGCUAACCAGACGCUGCACAACGGGUGGGACACGGAAAGGUGAUAUGCUCACGGAUCUGCUCCAGGGUCAAAGGGCCACGGGUGCUGAUGGCUUCUGUAUGCUGACUGUCCUCACGCGGGCUGUUUUCUCAGAGGUGGCACAGGCAUCCCGUGGCAAGGGCCCGGUGCGUGUGAUCAUGCGAGUGCAUGCACGUGUGUGUGUCCUGGUCUCUCCCUUUUUACAAAGUCCCAGCAUUUAGUCACAGGUGCUCCACCCUAACGACCUGGUCUAAUCCCUGCCACCUUCUGGAGACCCCGCCCGGAACACAUAAUCCAUUCAGUUUUCUCCCCCAAAACUGCUCACCGUGUAGAUAAAACUCCAACAGGCUUUCAGCACCCACAAACUAGAGUCUGACCGGAGCCAGAGAAGGACUCUGAUUGGCCUUUCUUGGGUCACGUGCCUGAGCCCGGCCCAAUCGCUGCUGCCUGCGAGGCGGGAUCUCUGCCCAGAGCUGCUGGCUGCGGGCGAACAGAGGGUGAGGGUGUUUGGCAGGGUGCUGCCCGGUGUUUCCAGACCAAGAGGACAGGCCGCCUCCCAAACGGUGCCCUCCGUCACUGCAAAGAAGAAACUAAAAGCUCUUAUGACACAGUUGAAGCCCGUCUUGGUGGUGCCUGCCUACAAGGCUGAGGCAGGAUGUCAUUUGGGUUGUUUUAAAAUAACAAACUAGCCAAAGGACUGGGGGUGUAGCUGAGUGCAGAGCCCUAGCGUUUUAAUGCCCUUGUGACAAAACAAAACACCCUAAAAAGCAAAACAAGCCCCAAACCCCAGAGCUGACACAUCCUACCUGCUGGAAAAGUGUCCAGGGGACGUGGAGGACGCAGAGCCCCCUCCCACCCCUGCCAUUAGGGCCAGCAACACCCCAUGAAGAGGAGACACAGCUGCUGCUCCCCCUGUGCAAGUCCCUAGGGAUGGACUCAGCCCUGUCCUAGAAAGACAGUGAGAAGCGUGGCGUCUUUUUAUUUUUUAUUUUUAUUUUUGGUACCGCAGAUCGAACUCACGACCUCCUGCUUGUCAGGCAGGUGCUUGUGCCCCUGAGCUAAAUCCCCGCCCCCCAAGUGUGGCAUCUUCAAGUCCAAAAA
Cavia porcellus (domestic guinea pig) is the source of this 6736-nucleotide long non-coding RNA. RefSeq lists it as uncharacterized. NCBI's taxonomy places the organism in Eukaryota, Metazoa, Chordata, Mammalia, Rodentia, Caviidae. The record is from RefSeq and is a predicted model, not a curated record. The transcript has 4 exons.